CGAAGCUUUGUUGCUUAGGUGCUUAAAAAAAAAAAGCAUUCGAUAUUAUACACUGACUGGAGUUCUCACAGAAUGAAUUGCACUUUUCUCUUUUGUCCCCUUUGUGAUCAUUCAAAUGAAUUUGCUCCGCUAAACCUCUGUUAUUUCCUGAGCCCUGGGUUAAGCGCCGAGUCCGGGAUUAUACUUCUUUGGGAACACACAAACGGACAGCUGCGGCCAUCAGCGAGGCCUUGUUCUUCCUAUAACGCUGCUUUCUGGUCCAUACAGAGUUUUCUCGGAGGACACUGCAGUGCGCUGGCAGCACGUACAGCAGAUCUCUCCACAAGCAUACCCUGGCGUACUUGAGUAUGCUGAAAAUAUAACGGCAUUAGACUAGAAUUAGGAUUAAGAUAAAACUGCAGGCUACAGUUUCACAGUCGCUGGUGAGAUUAUAGAUUACGGUCCUCACAAGCAGAAAAAAAAAAAGAGUAUCCUCACACAUGCAAGGAUAUGGAAAGGAGAGCAUGAGUAAGCUUGUUUCCCUACCAAGUUUUGCAGCGUGCUUGUACAUAGGUGGCCAUGUGGUUAAGUGUCUGUGAAUGCUGCCAGUAAAUAGAUGCUCCAAUAUGUCUCUGAAUAUGUCUUGGCAGCCAUAUGAACCACUCUGCUGCCGAGUGGGAGAAGUGCAGGAGAGUAGGAGGGAGAGAAGAUGGGAGGCCUGACCUUGCAGAUGAUUCAGUCAAUGGAGUAAUCACAACUAUUCCUCUGAGUCCGCACUACAAACGAGAGGUUACUGACGAGGCAGCGCUCACUUUUGCUGUCUCUUCUUCUUAUUCUCCACAUUUAUCUCCUCCGUCUGUCUGUCAGUUUGCAUCUUUUUUUUUGCCUGGGCGGAAUUGUUGGAUCUGGUUGUGUAGAUGAAAGUGGUGGUUGCUGUUGUUGUUGUUGGUGGUGUGUGUGUGUUUGGAUGGGCGUGCAUGUGUUUAUGUAAAGGAACUUUGACACAGCAGCUGUUUUAACCAACGUGUUUCAUGUCUCAUGAACUGUAGAGACGCCUGGAUAUCUAAUGAUUUUUUCCCCCUCUCUCCUAUGCAAAUUAGAUGAUAUCCCAUAAUGCACAUUUAUUAUUUGUGUUGUGUAAUUAAUGUUUGUUCUCCAUCUCUGUGACAUAUGGAUAUUUUUUUCCCAUAAAGCUAUUAUUUCGGGAGAUUUUUUUUAAAGUCCUGGGAUAAAUGAGAAAGAUAUUGCUAUAUUUUCAUUGUGUUUUUACAGCCUUCCUUUAUUGUGUUUUAUUAUCCACAACAUGGUACUAUGGUAGUGAAAAAAACUGAAAAAAAAAAUUAUUAAUAUGUAAGCACUGUGCAAUUUUCCUUUUUACGACAGUGUGUCAUUAAGAAAUGUUUCUGCUGUUCUCUGUACAUACAAUAUGAACCAUUUUUUCAGCGAAUAAAUUGAGGGUAGUUUCAGUCCUUGUAACAAUAA
Long non-coding RNA from Oreochromis aureus, 1461 nucleotides. NCBI's taxonomy places the organism in Eukaryota, Metazoa, Chordata, Actinopteri, Cichliformes, Cichlidae. The record is from Ensembl.